CCGGCCGGCAUUCUUUGCAGACAGCUCUGGGAUGUCUAGGUGGGCUGGUACAGAGAAAAGAAUAUGAGCUUUAGAGACAGUCAGACAAACCUGGGCUCAAGCCCUUCUGCUGCCAUUUGUGAUGUACUUACUUAAUCUGACUCUGAGUUUGUUUUCAUUCUCUUCUGUAAAAUGGAAAUAAUCAUAUAGUCUCGGGAGGAUCAUUGUGAGGAUCAAGUAAGACAAUGUGUGGUGAGUCUCCAGCAUAGUGCCUCACAAUCGUUCUGUGGAUUUGGAAUAGAGGCGGCAGGAGUGGCUUGCCACUGUUCCAUGAUAUCUCGUGCCUGGAUAGCUGGGAGUGACACAGCAGUUGGGUGAUAAAAAUCAUCUGAAGGCUCCUUCACUCACAUGCCUGGUGCCUGGCCUGGGAGCACUUGAACGUGAGCACCAUUGACUAGAGCACCCAUCCAGGGCCUCUCCUUGUGGUGUGGCUUCCUCGCAGCAUGGCGACCUCGGGGUAAUCGGACUUCUAACAUGGAAGCUCGGAGUUCCCAGUGCAAGUGCUUCAGGAGGCAACACAGAAGCUCCACGGCCUUUUAUGACCUGAAGUUGUGCAGCAUCACUUCCACUGCAUUCUAUUGGUGGCAGUCAAGUCACAGAUUCAAGGGAAGGAGAAUUAGACUCCAUGUCUUAAGGGGUUAGUGGCAAGGUUCUAGAAGAGCCUGGAUGGGAGAUGUUGUGAUCUCUUCAUCUUUGGAAAAUAUAAUUGGAAAAUAUAAUCGGAAAAUAUAAUCGGGAUUCAUGUUGCAGAAUUUGAAGUCACACGUGGUCAGUGCUCUGCACUUUGCAAACAAAGUCCAGGAGGGGAAAAAUCUUUUCUCAUGGAGGUGAAUCUGGUUGCAUUCUAGCCAAACCUGGAAAGAUGAGACAGACAAGCAGGAACUAAAUUAGGCAGAGGAGACUGCGUUUUAAUACACGGGGGUAAGAAAGUAUGGGAAAAUGUGACCACAGCCUUGAACCUACGGGAUUGGAGAGGGGCUUGGGGUGGAAGGAGACAAGCUCGAAAUGUAGAUGGAGGCCGAAUUUGUUUGAGCAUUUGACUGACAAAGCGAAGGACCAGAAAAGCUGCUUCUCUCAGUGCCUCCUGCCAUCCCCCUCCCCUCAGUAGUCCCUCUACAUUUAAAAAUCUUAUUAGUAUCACUUUAAAUCAGGUGAGCACUCCUUUGCUCUUUUGGAUGUACUUAGGCAUAAAUGUACUUUGCUAUCUCUUGGGUUCUCAUUUUCACACUAUUACAUCUUUGUGUACUUUAUCUCGGCCCCGCCCUACAGCUUUGAUUUUUC
Molecule: long non-coding RNA, 1320 nt
Filed under: Equus asinus (donkey)
Lineage: Eukaryota; Metazoa; Chordata; Mammalia; Perissodactyla; Equidae
Description: lncRNA (ENSEASG00005030881.1)
Source: RNAcentral